GCUUCGGCCUGGUAUUAUAACCCUUCGUUGCCGAUUCUGUUGCCCCGGAGCGACUCUGCCCCGGGCGGGGGCCCGGGCGACACUUAAACUCUCGCGUAACUCCUGAGUCCAGUAAAUUAAUUAAUAAAUUAAAACUUCUAACAACGGAUCUCUCGGUUCUGGCAUCGAUGAAGAACGCAGCGAAAUGCGAUAAGUAUGUGAAUCGCAGAAUUCAGUGAAUCAUCGAAUCUUUGAACGCACAUUGCGCCCCCCGGUAUUCCGGGGGGCAUGCCUGUUCGAGCGUCAUUUCACCACUCAAGCCUCGCUUGGUAUUGGGCAACGCGGUCCGCCGCGUGCCUCAAAUCGUCCGGCUGGGUCUUCUGUCCCCUAAGCGUUGUGGAAACUAUUCGCUAAAGGGUGUUCGGGAGGCUACGCCGUAAAACAACCCCAUUUCUAAGGUUGACCUCGGAUCAGGUAGGGAUACCCGCUGAACUUAAGCAUACUA
Molecule: ribosomal RNA, 484 nt
Filed under: Cladosporium sp. CT500
Lineage: Eukaryota; Fungi; Ascomycota; Dothideomycetes; Cladosporiales; Cladosporiaceae
Description: eukaryotic LSU rRNA
Rfam family: 5.8S ribosomal RNA (bases 133-285)
Source: RNAcentral